AAAGAUAGUGGCGGACGGGUGCGUAACACGUGGGAAUAUACCUUUUGGUUCGGAACAACGCAGGGAAACUUGCGCUAAUACCGAAUGUGCCCUUACGGGGAAAGAUUUAUCGCCAAAGGAUUAGCCCGCGUAGGAUUAGCUAGUUGGUGAGAUAAUGGCUCACCAAGGCUUCGAUCGGUAGCUGGUCUGAGAGGAUGAUCAGCCACAUUGGGACUGAGACACGGCCCAA
Molecule: ribosomal RNA, 229 nt
Filed under: uncultured bacterium
Lineage: Bacteria
Description: partial 16S ribosomal RNA
Rfam family: Bacterial small subunit ribosomal RNA
Source: RNAcentral